Molecule: ribosomal RNA, 253 nt
Filed under: uncultured bacterium
Lineage: Bacteria
Description: partial 16S ribosomal RNA
Rfam family: Bacterial small subunit ribosomal RNA
Source: RNAcentral
UACAGAGGGGGCAAGCGUUAUUCGGAAUUAUUGGGCGUAAAGGGCGCGUAGGCGGCCUGGCAAGUGGAUGGUGAAAUCCCUCGGCUUAACCGAGGAACUGCCAUCCAGACUGCUUGGCUUGAGACCGGGAGAGGUGAGUGGAAUUCCCAGUGUAGCGGUGAAAUGCGUAGAUAUUGGGAGGAACACCAGUGGCGAAGGCGGAUCUCUGGGCAGUAACUGACGCUGAGGAGCGAAAGCGUGGGGAGCGAACAGG